GAAAAGCGUUAGGGAUUGAGCGUUAUGUUUGAGCUCUUUUUAUUUUAAAUAAAAUAAAAAAGCGAGUAGCGAAAGCCCGACCCGAU
RNAcentral lists this unclassified non-coding RNA (86 nucleotides) under Mesonia phycicola. Its description in RNAcentral is "Flavo-1 RNA". The record is from RNAcentral. Lineage: Bacteria; Pseudomonadati; Bacteroidota; Flavobacteriia; Flavobacteriales; Flavobacteriaceae.